RNAcentral lists this transfer RNA (73 nucleotides) under Sandaracinaceae bacterium. RNAcentral describes it as "tRNA-Gly". It matches the Rfam family "tRNA". Rfam says of the family: Transfer RNA (tRNA) molecules are approximately 80 nucleotides in length. Their secondary structure includes four short double-helical elements and three loops (D, anti-codon, and T loops). Further hydrogen bonds mediate the characteristic L-shaped molecular structure. tRNAs have two regions of fundamental functional importance: the anti-codon, which is responsible for specific mRNA codon recognition, and the 3' end, to which the tRNAs corresponding amino acid is attached (by aminoacyl-tRNA synthetases). tRNAs cope with the degeneracy of the genetic code in two manners: having more than one tRNA (with a specific anti-codon) for a particular amino acid; and 'wobble' base-pairing, i.e. permitting non-standard base-pairing at the 3rd anti-codon position. Lineage: Bacteria; Pseudomonadati; Myxococcota; Polyangiales; Sandaracinaceae. The record is from RNAcentral.
GCGGGUGUAGCUCAGUUGGUAGAGCGUCAGCCUUCCAAGCUGAAUGUCGCCGGUUCGAUCCCGGUCUCCCGCU